This 315-nucleotide ribosomal RNA is filed under the name Escherichia coli. RNAcentral's name for it is "partial 23S ribosomal RNA". It matches the Rfam family "Bacterial large subunit ribosomal RNA", at positions 1465 to 1774 of the family's 2925-position model. The record is from RNAcentral. Lineage: Bacteria; Pseudomonadati; Pseudomonadota; Gammaproteobacteria; Enterobacterales; Enterobacteriaceae.
AGGGGGGACGGAGAAGGCUAUGUUGGCCGGGCGACGGUUGUCCCGGUUUAAGCGUGUAGGCUGGUUUUCCAGGCAAAUCCGGAAAACCAAGGCUGAGGCGUGAUGACGAGGCACUACGGUGCUGAAGUGACAAAUGCCCUGCUUCCAGGAAAAGCCUCUAAGCAUCAGGUAACAUCAAAUCGUACCCCAAACCGACACAGGUGGUCAGGUAGAGAAUACCAAGGCGCUUGAGAGAACUCGGGUGAAGGAACUAGGCAAAAUGGUGCCGUAACUUCGGGAGAAGGCACGCUGAUAUGUAGGUGAAGCGACUUGCUC